This 651-nucleotide ribosomal RNA is filed under the name Hericium coralloides. Its description in RNAcentral is "eukaryotic LSU rRNA". The stretch from base 222 to 375 matches the Rfam family "5.8S ribosomal RNA". The record is from RNAcentral. Lineage: Eukaryota; Fungi; Basidiomycota; Agaricomycetes; Russulales; Hericiaceae.
CCUUCCGUAAGGGGGCCUGCGGAAGGAUCAUUAAUGAAUUUGAAAGGAGUUUUGUUGCUGGCUUGUCAACCCAGGCAUGUGCACACUCCGAUCUCAUCCAUCUUACACCUGUGCACCCUUGCGUGGGUCUGUCGGCUUUGCGGUCGUUCGGGCUUGCGUUUUUUCUAUAAACUUUUAUGUAUGUAACAGAAUGUCUUAAAUGCUAUAAACGCAUCUUAUACAACUUUCAACAACGGAUCUCUUGGCUCUCGCAUCGAUGAAGAACGCAGCGAAAUGCGAUAAGUAAUGUGAAUUGCAGAAUUCAGUGAAUCAUCGAAUCUUUGAACGCACCUUGCGCCCCUUGGUAUUCCGAGGGGCACGCCUGUUCGAGUGUCGUGAAAUUCUCAACUCAAUCCUCUUGUUAUGAGAGGGCUGGGCUUGGACUUGGAGGUCUUGCCGGUGGUUCCUUCGGGACCGUCGGCUCCUCUUGAAUGCAUGAGUGGAUCCCUUUUUGUAGGGUUUGCCCUUGGUGUGAUAAUUAUCUACGCCGCGGGUAGCCUUGCGCGCUGGUCUGCUUCUAACCGUCCUUCGGGACAUGUUUUUCAUCUCAACUUGACCUCGAAUCAGGCUGCUGCCGCUGAUUUGCCCAAGCAUAUCAAUACGCGAAGGAAA